CCAGCCAUUUGGAACCUCUAGAGAUCCACAGAGCAGGUACAGCAUGGGAGUGGCAGUGCCAGGUUCCCCCAUAGUGGAUCACUAACAUGCCUUAGCCUUGACCUGGAGGGAGCACACUGAAGGGGGUGUCACUAGCUCACUCUCCAUGCCCCCUGUUUAUUUUCUUUU
RNAcentral lists this small RNA (168 nucleotides) under Chelonoidis abingdonii (Abingdon island giant tortoise). Its description in RNAcentral is "TUC338 (ENSCABG00000018085.1)". The record is from RNAcentral. Lineage: Eukaryota; Metazoa; Chordata; Testudines; Testudinidae.